GGGGACUUAGUUUAACGGCAGAAUAGUGCUCUCCAAAAGCAUUGAUGGGGGUUCGAUUCCCUCAGUCCCCG
This 71-nucleotide transfer RNA is filed under the name Parcubacteria group bacterium. Its description in RNAcentral is "tRNA-Trp". It matches the Rfam family "tRNA". Rfam says of the family: Transfer RNA (tRNA) molecules are approximately 80 nucleotides in length. Their secondary structure includes four short double-helical elements and three loops (D, anti-codon, and T loops). RNAcentral also lists the same sequence under 1 other name. The record is from RNAcentral.